GGACAGAUUCCAGAGCGGCCAAAUGGAUCAGACUGUAAAUCUGACGUCUCAGACUUCGGUGGUUCGAAUCCACCUCUGUCCACCA
Molecule: transfer RNA, 85 nt
Filed under: Clostridiales bacterium
Lineage: Bacteria; Bacillati; Bacillota; Clostridia; Eubacteriales
Also listed under: 4 other names
Description: tRNA-Tyr
Rfam family: tRNA
About the family: Transfer RNA (tRNA) molecules are approximately 80 nucleotides in length. Their secondary structure includes four short double-helical elements and three loops (D, anti-codon, and T loops).
Source: RNAcentral